Molecule: ribosomal RNA, 522 nt
Filed under: uncultured bacterium
Lineage: Bacteria
Description: bacterial SSU rRNA
Rfam family: Bacterial small subunit ribosomal RNA
Source: RNAcentral
GCGCAAUGGGCGAAAGCCUGACGCAGCAACGCCGCGUGGGGGAUGACGGCCUUCGGGUUGUAAACCUCUUUCGACAGGGACGAAACUUUCGGGUGACGGUACCUGUAGAAGAAGCACCGGCUAACUACGUGCCAGCAGCCGCGGUAAUACGUAGGGUGCGAGCGUUGUCCGGAUUUAUUGGGCGUAAAGAGCUCGUAGGCGGUUUGCCGCGUCGGCCGUGAAAACCUGCAGCUUAACUGUGGGCGUGCGGUCGAUACGGGCAGACUUGAAUUCGGCAGGGGAGACUGGAAUUCCUGGUGUAGCGGUGAAAUGCGCAGAUAUCAGGAGGAACACCAGUGGCGAAGGCGGGUCUCUGGGCCGAUACUGACGCUGAGGAGCGAAAGCAUGGGAAGCGAACAGGAUUAGAUACCCUGGUAGUCCAUGCCGUAAACGUUGGGCGCUAGGUGUGGGGAUGGGUUCCACCGUUUCCGUGCCGUAACUAACGCAUUAAGCGCCCCGCCUGAGGAGUACGGCCGCAAGGCU